This 950-nucleotide ribosomal RNA is filed under the name uncultured Neocallimastigales. Its description in RNAcentral is "partial large subunit ribosomal RNA". It matches the Rfam family "Eukaryotic large subunit ribosomal RNA", at positions 25 to 627 of the family's 3401-position model. Lineage: Eukaryota; Fungi; Neocallimastigomycota; Neocallimastigomycetes; Neocallimastigales. The record is from RNAcentral.
ACACUGACGUCGCGACGCAUAUCAAUAAGCGGAGGAAAAGAAACUAACAAGGAUUCCCCUAGUAAUGGCGAGUGAAGCGGGAAGAGCUCAAAUUUGAAAUCUUAAAGGGUUUCCCUUUACGAAUUGUAGUUUAAAGAAGUGUUUUCUGUUGAGGUUUUGGUAAAAGUUCUUUGGAAUAGGACAUCAUAGAGGGUGAGAAUCCCGUAUUUGACCUUUACUUUCAACUUUGUGAUACACUUUCAAAGGGUCGGAUUGUUUGGGAAUGCAGUCCAAAAUGGGUGGUAAAUUUCAUCUAAAGCUAAAUACUGGCGAGAGACCGAUAGCGAACAAGUACCGUGAGGGAAAGAUGAAAGGAACUUUGAAAAGAGAGUUAAACAGUACGUGAAAUUGUCAAAAGGGAAGCGUUUGACACCAGUGUUGUUUAGUUGAAAAUCAAUUCAAUAAUUUUUGAUUUUAAGUAGUAUUGACUUCAUCAGCUUGCUGCUUUCUUUUCAGGAAUUAUUGAAUGCACUUUUCAGUUAACAAGUCAACAUCAAUUUCUUUUGUUGUAAAAGGGUAAGAGGAAGGUGGCUUACGUUUCGGCGUAAGUGUUUAUAGCCUUUUACCUCUGCAAUCGGAGAGAUUGAGGCCAGCAGCGUAGACUCCUUCUGGGGUUAGAUACACUUGUGCUAAGCUAUAGCCUUGUAUAGACAACUUGUUGACUAUGCUCAGUCAUGUAGCUUACUCGCUUGUGCUAUUUUACCUACGCUUAGGAUGUUGAAGAUGUAGCACAUCAUACACGCAUGACACACUGCAUAUCAAUAAGCGGAGGAAAAGAGGGCUAUUACCUACGCUUAGGAUGUUGACGAGACUGUCGAUCUCAUCUACACUGACGUCGCGACGCAUAUCAAUAAGCGGAGGAAAAGAGGGCUACUACCUACGCUUAGGAUGUUGAUGUGAUACUGCGAGCA